UCCGUAUUGUGAACCUNCGGAAGGAUCAUUACUGAUUUGCUUAAUUGCACCACAUGUGUUUUUCUUUGAAACAAACUUGCUUUGGCGGUGGGCCCAGCCUGCCGCCAGAGGUCUAAACUUACAACCAAUUUUUUAUCAACUUGUCACACCAGAUUAUUACUAAUAGUCAAAACUUUCAACAACGGAUCUCUUGGUUCUCGCAUCGAUGAAGAACGCAGCGAAAUGCGAUACGUAAUAUGAAUUGCAGAUAUUCGUGAAUCAUCGAAUCUUUGAACGCACAUUGCGCCCUCUGGUAUUCCGGAGGGCAUGCCUGUUUGAGCGUCGUUUCUCCCUCAAACCGCUGGGUUUGGUGUUGAGCAAUACGACUUGGGUUUGCUUGAAAGACGGUAGUGGUAAGGCGGGAUCGCUUUGACAAUGGCUUAGGUCUAACCAAAAACAUUGCUUGCGGCGGUAACGUCCACCACGUAUAUCUUCAAACUUUGACCUCAAAUCAGGUAGGACUACCCGCUGAACUUAAGCAUAUCANAAUGCGGAGGAA
RNAcentral lists this ribosomal RNA (538 nucleotides) under Candida albicans. RNAcentral describes it as "eukaryotic LSU rRNA". The stretch from base 171 to 324 matches the Rfam family "5.8S ribosomal RNA". The record is from RNAcentral. Lineage: Eukaryota; Fungi; Ascomycota; Pichiomycetes; Serinales; Debaryomycetaceae.